RNAcentral lists this ribosomal RNA (516 nucleotides) under uncultured Ascomycota. RNAcentral describes it as "LSU rRNA". It matches the Rfam family "Eukaryotic large subunit ribosomal RNA", at positions 399 to 935 of the family's 3401-position model. Lineage: Eukaryota; Fungi; Ascomycota. The record is from RNAcentral.
GUGAAAUUGUUGAAAGGGAAGCGCUUGCAACCAGACCUGCCUGCAGUUGCUCAUCCGGGCUUUUGCCCGGUGCACUCUUCUGCUGUCAGGCCAGCAUCAGUUCGGGCGGUCGGAUAAAGGCUUCGGGAAUGUAGCUCCUCUCGAGGAGUGUUAUAGCCCGUUGCGAAAUGCGGCCAGCCUGAACUGAGGUCCGCGCUUCGGCUAGGAUGCUGGCGUAAUGGUUGUAAGCGGCCCGUCUUGAAACACGGACCAAGGAGUCUAACAUCUGUGCGAGUGUUUGGGUGUCAAACCCGUACGCGUAAUGAAAGUGAACGGAGGCGGGAACCCCUCGGGGUGCACCGUCGACCGAUCCUGAUGUCUUCGGAUGGAUUUGAGUAAGAGCAUAGCUGUUGGGACCCGAAAGAUGGUGAACUAUGCCUGAAUAGGGUGAAGCCAGAGGAAACUCUGGUGGAGGCUCGCAGCGGUUCUGACGUGCAAAUCGAUCGUCAAAUUUGGGCAUAGGGGCGAAAGACUAAU